AUUGCGUACGCCCAAGGCGCUGGGCCUGGAGCAGGAGAAAGGGAGUGGAGGCGCGUCGGAGACUAUGAAGCGCGGCGUUCGGCGGGAUCCUUUCCGGAAGCGGAAGCUCGGCGGGCGGGCCAAGAAGGUCCGGGAGCCCACGGCGGUUAAUUCUUUUUACCGUGAGGCUUCACUUCCCUUGGUCUGGGCUUCUCUGAGGCGGCGAGAGAUGGUCAGGUCUGGAGCUCGACCGGGCCAGCAUCUUCAGAUAAUAAGAAACAGAUACCUAAUGAAGCUUCUGCUAGAAGUGAAAGAGACACAUCAGACCUAGAACAAAACUGGUCAUUGCAAGAUCAUUAUAGAAUGUAUUCACCCAUAAUAUACCAAGCCCUCUGUGAGCACGUGCAGACUCAGAUGUCACUGAUGAAUGACUUGACUUCAAAGAACAUCCCUAAUGGAAUUCCUGCUGUACCAUGCCAUGCUCCCUCUCAUUCUGAAUCUCAGGCAACUCCUCAUUCUAGUUAUGGCUUAUGUACCUCCACUCCAGUCUGGUCACUUCAGCGGCCACCCUGCCCUCCAAAGGUUCAUUCUGAAGUUCAAACUGACGGCG
Molecule: small RNA, 589 nt
Filed under: Pan troglodytes (chimpanzee)
Lineage: Eukaryota; Metazoa; Chordata; Mammalia; Primates; Hominidae
Description: processed transcript
Source: RNAcentral